RNAcentral lists this ribosomal RNA (409 nucleotides) under uncultured Bicosoecida. RNAcentral describes it as "partial small subunit ribosomal RNA". It matches the Rfam family "Eukaryotic small subunit ribosomal RNA", at positions 30 to 432 of the family's 1831-position model. The record is from RNAcentral. Lineage: Eukaryota; Bigyra; Bicosoecida.
GCUUGUCUCAAAGAUUAAGCCAUGCAUGUCUAAGUAUAAAUAAUUCUAUACUGUGAAACUGCGAAUGGCUCAUUAUAUCAGUUAUAGUUUAUUUGAUAGUCCCUUACUACUUGGAUAACCGUAGUAACUCUAGAGCUAAUACAUGCGCAAAUUCCCGACUGUCGCAAGGCGGAAAGGAUGUAUUUAUUAGAUCCAACCAGCCCGGUUCGCCGGAGUCCCUGGUGAGUCAUAAUAACUUAGCGGAUCGCAGAGGCCUCGCGCCGGCGACAAAUCAUUCAAGUUUCUGCCCUAUCAGCUUUCGAUGGUAGUGUAUUGGACUACCAUGGCAUUCACGGGUAACGGAGGAUUAGGGUUCGAUUCCGGAGAGGGAGCCUGAGAAAUGGCUACCACAUCCAAGGAAGGCAGCAGG